AAUGGGGGCAACCCUGAUCCAGCCAUGCCGCGUGAGUGAAGAAGGCCUUCGGGUUGUAAAGCUCUUUCAGGUGGAAAGAAAUCGCAUCUUUUAAUACAGGGUGUGGAUGACGGUACCAUCAGAAGAAGCACCGGCUAACUACGUGCCAGCAGCCGCGGUAAUACGUAGGGUGCGAGCGUUAAUCGGAAUUACUGGGCGUAAAGCGUGCGCAGGCGGUUAUGUAAGACAGAUGUGAAAUCCCCGGGCUCAACCUGGGAACUGCGUUUGUGACUGCAUAACUAGAGUACGGCAGAGGGAGGUGGAAUUCCGCGUGUAGCAGUGAAAUGCGUAGAGAUGCGGAGGAACACCGAUGGCGAAGGCAGCCUCCUGGGCCAGUACUGACGCUCAUGCACGAAAGCGUGGGGAGCAAA
Molecule: ribosomal RNA, 410 nt
Filed under: uncultured bacterium
Lineage: Bacteria
Description: bacterial SSU rRNA
Rfam family: Bacterial small subunit ribosomal RNA
Source: RNAcentral